Molecule: long non-coding RNA, 1662 nt
Filed under: Drosophila guanche
Lineage: Eukaryota; Metazoa; Arthropoda; Insecta; Diptera; Drosophilidae
Source: RNAcentral
GCUCAUUUUUGCGUUAUGUUGUGCUCCUCUGACAUGAGAGAUGUUCCCUGAUCAUUUGACAGCAGGAGAGAAAUUCCCCGACAGCUUUACAUCAGUAGAGAAUUACCCCGGCCGUGUGACAUCAAAAAAUCCCUAACCACAAAAAACUUGAUACGCGAACUUUCCGUUAAAAUAAUCCUAAUUUAUUGCUAAAUGGUCGAAAAUCGGUCAAAUUAUUAGUGCAGUAUAAACUAAAACGAUUAGUUAAAUGUCUAGUGCUUCACGCGUCUUAAUGCACAGGUUAAAAACAAAACAAAGUUCCAAGCGCCGGCGCACGUGCAAAUGUAAAAACGAAAAGCGGAAAAUCGGCGGGAAAACUUGUGGAAAGGCAGAAUUAUUAAAGCCAAUGUGUGUGGAGAGUCAAAGGAUUAGAAACAAUACGAAGCAUGUGUGAAAACAAUAUUUGUUCUACUUGAACAAAACGCCAUGAAAGAAUGAAUUUGCGUCGCCAUUUUCGGCGUUGCUUCCCACGCUUGUUUACAUGUAUGCAAAGUUGAGUCGAAAGCAGGCGAAGUAAAAUAACGGCACUAUGCCAUGAUGUGCAAUUGAUCUUGACUUGUGUUUUUUUUUCUGUGAGAGUGAGAGUGCAAGUGUUAGUGAGUGUCGAUGGUCAUUAUGACGGCAAGGUGAGCCAGGCGGGUACGGCUAAAGUGAGUGAAAAGUGAGCGAGUGUUGAUGGUCAUUAUGAUGGCAAGGGGAGCCAGGCGGGUACGGCUAAAGUGAGUGAAGUGUUUGUGUCGAUGGUCAUUAUGACGGCAAGGGGAGCCAGGCGGUUUCGGCUCGUUUACAUGCAUGCAAAGUUGAGUCAAAAGCAGGCGAAGUAAAAUAACGGCACUAUGCCAUUAUGUGCAAUUGAUCUUGACUUGUGUUUUUUUUUCUGUGAGAGUGAGAGUGCAAGUGUUAGUGAGUGUCGAUGGUCAUUAUGAUGGCAAGGUGAGCCAGGCGGGUACGGCUAAAGUGAGUGAAAAGUGUGUCAGUGUCGAUGGUCAUUAUGAUGGCAAGGUGAGCCAGGCGGGUACGGCUAAAGUGAGUGAGUGUCGAUGGUCAUUAUGAUGGCAAGGGGAGCCAGGCGGUUUCGGCUUGUUUACAUGCAUGCAAAGUUGAGUCGAAAGCAGGCGAAGUAAAAUAACGGCACUAUGGCUUGAUGUGCAAUUGAUCUUGACUUGUGUUUUUUUUUCUGUGAGAGUGAGAGUGCAAGUGUUAGUGAGUGUCGAUGGUCAUUAUGACGGCAAGGUGAGCCAGGCGGGUACGGCUAAAGUGAGUGAGUGUCGAUGGUCAUUAUGAUGGCAAGGUGAGCCAGGCGGGUACGGCUAAAGUGAGUGAAAAGUGAGUGAGUGUCGAUGGUCAUUAUGAUGGCAAGGGGAGCCAGGCGGGUACGGCUAAAGUGAGUGAAGUGUUUGUGUCGAUGGUCAUUAUGAUGGCAAGGGGAGCCAGGCGGUUUCGGCUCGUUUACAUGCAUGCAAAGUUGAGUCAAAAGCAGGCGAAGUAAAAUAACGGCACUAUGGCUUGAUGUGCCAUUGAUCUUGACUUGUGUUUUUUUUUCUGUGAGAGUGAGAGUGCAAGUGUUAGUGAGUGUCGAUGGUCAUUAUGAUGGCAAGGUGAGCCAGGCGGGUACGGCUAAAG